UAUUUAAGAGUUUGAUCCUGGCUCAGGGUGAACGCUAGCGGCAUGUUUAAGGCAUGCAAGUCGAAAGCCGCUUUUGGCGGCUUGGCAAACGGGAGAGUAACACAUUGGUAACCUAUCUCUAUCUUGGGCAUAACCCAGAGAAAUCUGGGAUAAUUCCCAAUAUUCAUGGGGGGACACAAGUCAUUCCCAUGUAAAGAUUUAUCGGAUAGAGAGGGGCCUAUGUCCCAUCAGCUUGUUGGUAAGGUAAUGGCUUACCAAGGCAACGACGGGUAGUGGGUGUGAGAGCAUGACCCGCCUCACUGGGACUGAGAUACUGCCCAGACUCCUACGGGAGGCUGCAGUCAAGAAUCUUCCUCAAUGGACGAAAGUCUGAAGGAGCAAUGCCGCGUGGUUGAUGAAGCUUUUCGGAGUGUAAAAACCUUUUAUCAGGGACGAAUUUGUGACGGUACCUGAUGAAUAAGUCACUGCUAACUUCGUGCCAGCAGCAGCGGUAAUACGAAGGUGGCAAGCGUUACCCGGAUUGAUUGGGCGUAAAGCGUCCGCAGAUGGUUUAGAAAGUCUUUAGUUAAAUCUUGAGGCUCAACCUCAAGACUGCUGGAGAUACUUUUAAACUUGAGACUGGGAGAGGUAAGCGGAAUUGCCGGUGUAGUAGUAAAAUGCGUUGAUAUCGGCAGGAACAUCAAAAGCGAAGGCAGCUUACUAGCACAGAUCUGACAUUCAGGGACGAAAGCGUGGGUAGCGAAUGGGAUUAGAUACCCCAGUAGUCCACGCCGUAAACUUUGGGUACUAAGCAUUGGAAGUAUCGACCCUUCCAGUGCUGUUUAAUUAAGCUAACGCCUUAAGUACCCCGCCUGGGAAGUACGGCCGCAAGGCUAAAACUCAAAGGAAUUGACGGGAGCCCGCACAAGCGGUGGAGCAUGUGGUUUAAUUCGAUGAUAAGCGAGAAACCUCACCAAGACUUGACAUAUAGCUGCAAACUCUAGGAAACUAGAGCUUCUUCGAGAGUGCUAUACAGGUGCUGCAUGGUUGUCGUCAGCUCGUGUC
This 1044-nucleotide ribosomal RNA is filed under the name Candidatus Komeilibacteria bacterium CG_4_9_14_0_2_um_filter_36_13. Its description in RNAcentral is "bacterial SSU rRNA". It matches the Rfam family "Bacterial small subunit ribosomal RNA", at positions 1 to 1066 of the family's 1533-position model. The record is from RNAcentral. Lineage: Bacteria; Candidatus Komeiliibacteriota.